ACACUGUCUCCGAAAAAAAAAAAAAAAAAUGUAGCCAGGUGUGAUGGUGCACACCUGUGGUCCUACCUGCUCCAGAGGCCGAGGGGGGAGGAUCAGUUGACCUUAGGAAUUAGAGGCUGCAAUGAGCCGAGAUUGCACCACUGCACUCCAGCCUGGGUGACAGAGUGAGACCCUCUCAAAAAAAAAAAAAAAAAAGAGUACUAGGAGAACAGCACUGAAAGAUGUUAGAGACUUUUAGAGACUUGGAUGCAGUCAGCCUGGGCUCAGCUCAGUGUGUCACUAGCUACGGGACAUUAGGGCAGGUACUUAACUUUCUGAACUUCAGUUACUCGUUGAUAAACAGAAAACUAAUUGCACAAUAGAGCACAAGGAAGCUGCUGCAGUUAGCACCGUAUCUGGGGCCUCCUUCGAGGUCAGGGAUGUUGGUGCAUCGGAUUCUAUUCGUUGAUGAUAGGAAUUCAUAGCCCCUGUCAGACCUCUACCCAGAUUCUAAUUAAUGAGAUAGAAUUAAUCAAAAACCCAAGCUUUGCUGAGGUCUAGAAAGAAAAUUCACAAACUGCAUAGGGCUUCCCUCAAAGAGCAACAAAUCACAGAAGCGUCUGCAGAGCAAGGCCAAGUGUUCACCGUGUUGAAUGCCCUUCAGUGCUUUCCAUCUUCCAUAGAUUGUAGGAUAGUGUGUCUUCCAAGAUGUGUGCUCACAUCUGAUCACCGCAGAAAUCAUUCAAACAUCAGCUGGACAACAUUAGCAAGAAGCCUGCAAACUCCGGCUCCCUGACGCUUCAGCCAGGCUCCUGUUUCUCUUUCUGAUUUCCUAACAAUGCACAGGCCCUGCCCUCAGGGUACCCACCCACUGCCUCCGAGUGAUGGGCACUCCCAGACAAGACCCAGGCUUUCCUCCCCGCGGCGCCAGCCUGGGAAAAGCAGACAGAGCUCGGCCCCGAUGGCCCCUCCGCCGGCUCCCCCAGCCCUUCCCUUCCCUGGCACCAAAACAGAUGACUUCAUCCGAGGGACACAGCCCCUAUCAGCCAGCCAGGCCUCCGGAACGGGAGCAGAAGGGAGCGCGGAGGCUGGCCUCUGCUCUGGUUACUUUGGCACAGGAGGAGGCUCUGUGGAGUGUCAGCCACAGCCUUCAAAUCAGAGAAGCAUGGCCUUGAUCCAGGACCCCUGCCACCCGGGGCCAGCGCUGGCCCUGCACGUGGCCGCCUCUCUCAGCCUGACCUCCUCCCUCCUCCACACUGCGGUGGGGUGCACAGUAGCUGAGUUAGAGGCUACUACACAGGCGGCAGAGGAGCCUCCCUUUCUGAGUCCCUGCUCUCCAUCCUCAGCCUGCUGACCAUAGUCCAUUCACUGGGUCCAUGUUGAGAGUCUCAGUCAUUUUUAAUCCAGAGUGGGAAUUCAAGCCUCAAUCCCUGUCUAGAUUCGGGGUCCACUCUCCUGCUCCUCGGCCCCCUUCCUUCAGGGUACUGUGUGUGACUAUGGAGGGGCCCGCAGGGAGGGCGGGAAGAGUCGUUCAGGCAGGCAAUGGCCUCAGGGAAGCAGUCACAUCCCGCCUGGGCACGUCACUGCGCUGGUGGCCUCACUGUUGGUCUUUUCCAGUCUGGUCCAAUGCUUUAAGGGUGCUGGUUGCUUCCCUGGCUGGAAUGCAGUGCACGCGGUCACGGGAAAGAGGGCGCGCUGGAGCUGGGCCUGCGUCUCCCACAGCCUUGUGGGCUGGAGCCAAGCAGGUCACCUAACCUCGCCAGACCUCAGUGGUCUCAUCUGUAAAACGGGGACGUGAUUGUCACCAUCUCAGCGCACCAUUGUAAGAAUUACUACUUUGUGCCCAGUAUGUAGUGGUGGAAAUCAGACGAGACCAUCCGAGCGGGCGGCUUCACACUCUGCAAGGCCUGCCGCGGCCUCCAGGUUUCCAGGCAGGGCCUCCCAGGCUCCAGCCUCUCUCCAACCCUGGAUAUGGGACAAGGAGCAACUUGAUCCCCAGCCUCAGAUCAAGAACUUCCCGCCAUCCUGAGGAAGCAGAGCCCCACUCACCACUCCAGACGCCCUUCCCCAUAACUUCGCUGACAUGCAGAGGAAAUGACGGCUGGCACAGUGGCUCGCGCCUGGGAUCCCAGCACUUUCGGAGGCCAAAGCAGGAGGAUCACUUGAGGCCAGGAGUUUGAGACCAGCCUGGGCAACAUAGUAAGACCCUGUCUCUUGCACCACAAGAAGCGGGAGAGAGACCAUCUGGAAUGGCAGUGGCGGGGUGGGCAGGAGGCUUCCCGAGACCGCGAGGUCCUCGGAGGCGAGAACGGGGCCUCUUUGUAUUCUCCAGAGCUAGCAGAGUCCCGGGAACCUCCUAAACCACUGAACAAGAGGCACGGCGUAAGUCCUGAGCGGUGUGGGAGAGGAGGGGUGCAGCGGAGGAAGAGGGAGGCCUUGUUUUCAGGCACCAGCCUGCCCUUGUGCCCCGGGAAUGGAAGAAAGGAAGGAAAGAGGUCUGCAAACCCGGCUGGCCACGCCGCAGACUGAGCCGCCGGCAUCCCCGCUUCCUAGCACGACACCUUGGGCCCCCACGGUUGCUCUAAUGGCUCUGAUUUGCCAUCAUAGCCCUGGCGAUUCUGGGCACCGGCCUGGCCAGUGUAUCCCCAUCACUGCCGCCGCCAUGAGCUUCACCGCCUCCCGGGCCCCAGGAGCGCCUCUUGCCAUCACUGUCUGCCCAUUGGGUCUGCUCAGAGCUGUGCACCCCCUGCCAGGCCCCACCCAGAAGAGUCAGCUUCGCAGAGGCUUGGGGGUGGGGGUUGGGGGGACGGAGAGGCUGCAGACAAGCUGUCGGGCUGGGUAUUAUUGUCCAGACCUGAGAGGCCACUUAUCUGGGCCGCCCACACAGGGAAGUGAGAUAGUCCAGCAGGACUUUUCCCACUAAUAUGCUUAUCUUGACUGGAAAGAAUACGGUGUUUGUGUGUGAAGACGUGCGUGUGUGAUUUUGCAAACCCUGUGUGUGUGUCUAUGUGAGUGUUUUCAUCCCAUAACUUCUGACCACACAGCUAUACAUUGGGGCCGUUUUACGGCUUGAAUGCCACGUAUGAGUCUGUGAAUCGUGUCUGCCUGGGGUCUGCUGAAGGAGGAGACGGCCAGAAGGGAGACAAGGGGUGGAGGAUGCUAAGGAGAAAGACAAAAUCAGAGGGAAUCCCUUUAAACAAGGGAAAACGACUAGUUUUGGUAAAAGAUGACGCCGUGGGUGUUUUCAUACACUGAUUAUGAGGGCGUGUAUUGAUAUAGCCCUUACAGAGAGCAAUCUGUAAACGUUAAAAUAUUGAAAUGUUAAGUGUGUCUUCUCUUGAUUGAAGUCUACCUUCCAUAGCUUCCCAAGAGAAAUGCUUGCAUCCAUCCACGCAGAAAUAUGUACAAGCAUGCACAUGCAGAAUUAUCUGUAGUGAAGAUUAUAAACAAUCUAAUGUUAAUGGACAAGGCUGUGGGUAAACAUAUUAUAGUAUUUUGUUGUUGUUUUUAUGUCUUUCCUUUUUUUUUUUCUUUUUUUCUUGUCUCUGAUGUUUCCUUAGAUGAAUUAUAUUAUAGCAUGGUAUAACAAUGUAUCAGUCAGAAAAAACAAGAAGUCUCUACACCAAAAUGAAAAGAUUCCCCAAAUAUGAAAGUUUUUUAAAAUUGUAGAAUAUAUAUGGAUUAUACCAUAUAAGCAACAGAAAAAAAAAUGUAUGUAGUCUAUUAAUUUGACUGUUUCAGGUACCUCAUGUAAGCAGAAUUAUCCAGUAUUUGUCCUGCAUCUGGCUUCUUUCACUUGGCAUAACGUCCUCAAGGUUCAUCCAUGUUACAGUAUGUAUCAGAAUUUCCUUCCUUUUUUAAGGCAGUAUAAUAUUCCAUUAUACAUAUAUUCUACAUUUAGUCUAUUUAUUCAUCCAUGGAUGGAUAUUUGAAUUGUUUGGACCAAUGUUUAAGUGAAUUUCUCAGCUUAGGUUUUGGUUUAUUAUAUGAGAGAGAUUUUUUUCCCCACCAAGAGGCCUAAGCAAAUCAAGUCUCCCUCACAAGCAGCUAGGAUUUGUCUGGUCCUCCAUUCACUGAGCAAGCAGCUUUUCAAGGGUCCUCACUUUUGCAUGAAUCUCAGAUCCAGCUCCCCUUUCUUAGAAGCCUAAGGCCUCAUCACCUGUCCCCGUGAGAGUGUUAAAAUCGAAGCCUCUGGCCCAUAGGAACGAGUUCCUGGUCCUGCGGCCAUUCCUCAGGUCCCACACCCAGGCUCUCACGCUCGCCGCUCUGCCUUUCCAUUCCUCUUCAUCCCUGCCAUCUGGGAUUCCCCUUUCUCGCUUUGAAGAAAUGGUUUUCAAUCUUGGCUCAUGUUUACAACCAACUGGGGACAUUUUUCUAAAUCCCAGAACACAACCCAGACCGAUUACAUGCAAAUCUCUGGCAUAAAAAGUGAGGUUUUAAAGAUGUACUAUGCAAAUAAUAGUAUAGUAGGGACCUGGAUGUGGAAAAACUCAUAAAGGUAUGACUUGAAUUAUCAAAAUAUUGUGAGUGCUGCUCCAGCUCUGCUGCCCGUGUUAGGUGGUGGCUUCUGGAUUGUGUUCUAACAGUGGCAGUUUGUGUUUGUGAUCAUUUCUAGGCAGCAAUUUUAAUCUGGAAAUAAAAUGAUCAUCUUGGCUUUC
Molecule: long non-coding RNA, 4637 nt
Organism: Sapajus apella (tufted capuchin)
Lineage: Eukaryota; Metazoa; Chordata; Mammalia; Primates; Cebidae
Exons: 2
Source: RefSeq, a predicted model, not a curated record